Molecule: ribosomal RNA, 253 nt
Filed under: uncultured bacterium
Lineage: Bacteria
Description: partial 16S ribosomal RNA
Rfam family: Bacterial small subunit ribosomal RNA
Source: RNAcentral
GACGUAGGGGGCUAGCGUUGUCCGGAAUCAUUGGGCGUAAAGCGCGUGUAGGCGGUCCGGUAAGUCCGCUGUGAAAGUCGGGGGCUCAACCCUCGAAAGCCGGUGGAUACUGUCGGGCUAGAGUACGGAAGAGGCGAGUGGAAUUCCUGGUGUAGCGGUGAAAUGCGCAGAUAUCAGGAGGAACACCAAUUGCGAAGGCAGCUCGCUGGGACGUUACUGACGCUGAGACGCGAAAGCGUGGGGAGCAAACAGG